UAAUACGGAGGGUGCAAGCGUUAAUCGGAAUUACUGGGCGUAAAGCGUGCGUAGGUGGUAUGUUAAGUUAGAUGUGAAAGCCCUGGGCUCAACCUAGGAACUGCAUUCAAAACUGGCAAACUAGAGUAUAGGAGAGGAAAGUGGAAUUUCAGGUGUAGCGGUGAAAUGCGUAGAUAUCUGAAGGAACAUCAAUGGCGAAGGCAGCUUUCUGGACUAAUACUGACACUGAGGUACGAAAGCGUGGGUAGCAAACAGGAUUAGAUACCCUGGUAGUCCACGCCGUAAACGAUGACAACUAGCCAUUGGGAGGAUUUACCUCUUAGUGGCGAAGCUAACGCGUUAAGUUGUCCGCCUGGGGAGUACGGCCGCAAGGUUA
Molecule: ribosomal RNA, 376 nt
Filed under: uncultured Gammaproteobacteria bacterium
Lineage: Bacteria; Pseudomonadati; Pseudomonadota; Gammaproteobacteria
Description: bacterial SSU rRNA
Rfam family: Bacterial small subunit ribosomal RNA
Source: RNAcentral